RNAcentral lists this long non-coding RNA (1974 nucleotides) under Podarcis lilfordi (Lilford's wall lizard). The record is from RNAcentral. Lineage: Eukaryota; Metazoa; Chordata; Lepidosauria; Squamata; Lacertidae.
GAGCUUUGUAUUACAAAGGGGCACUGUAUAUCCCUGAAGGAGACUUAAGGGGGAGGGUACUCAAGCAGUUGCACGACAGCCCUACGGCGGGGCAUUUUGGACAACACAAAACCAUGUGGUUGGUCACCAGGGAAUUUUGGUGGCCUAAGGUGAGGGAAGAUGUACGUGAGUAUGUAAGAGGGUGCGAGCAAUGCCAGCGAGCCAAAGGGGAAAGGCGGGCGCCGGCGGGGCUAUUAGAACCCUUACCAACCCCAGAACGACCUUGGGAGGCAGUGUCGAUAGAUUUUAUGACUGAUCUGCCGAAGUCCAAAGGGAAAACAGCCAUCAUGGUGGUGGUAGACCUACUAACAAAGAUGUGCCACUUUGUAGCUUGCUCGCAUGCAGUCACGGCGGAAGAGACAGCGAAGUUAUUUGUAGAACACAUUUUUAGGUUGCACGGGGUGCCAUUGAGGGUGGUCUCAGACCGAGGAAAACAAUUUACUUCCAGGUUCUGGAGGAAGCUCAUGAGCUUACUGCAGGUGGAGGUCAAUUUUUCGACUGCCCGGCACCCUGAAACCAACGGGCAGGCGGAAAGAGCAAACGGUGUCCUCCAGCAAUACCUGAGGUGUUAUGUCAAUGACAGAGAGAAUGACUGGGUAGAAAAGUUGGCGCUGGCGGAAUUUGCCUACAAUAAUGCCGAGAAUGUGUCCACAGGGAUGAGCCCCUUCUUGGCUAAUUAUGGGUGUCAUCCCAGGGCUUUCCCAGGGGAGAUGGGGAGAGAUGGAGCGUCCCGGCAGCCGAGCAUUUUGUGGAAGAAAUGGAAGCAAUCCAUCGUCAGCUCCAACUCAACUUAGAAAGGGCGAAGGAAGAAUACAAGAGGCAGGCAGACAAGAACCGAAGGGAAGGUGAAACCAUAAGGGUGGGAGAUAGGGUGUGGCUGUCAACCCAAGGGUUGCCGUUCAAAGGAGGUUGUAAGAAAUUAAGACCCAGGAGGUUGGGUCCCUUUGAGGUCAUUCAACAGGUCAACCCAGUGGCUUUCAGGCUCCGGUUACCCAACCACAUGAAACUGCACCCAGUAUUUCACAGGUCGUUACUGUCACCGUACGAAGGGGACGAGAAGGGAUGGCCACUCGGGGACCGGUCAUAGAAGAAAGAGAAUGCAGCAGCCAUGUGGCAGAAAUCCUCGACGCCAGGUGGAAGGGGAAUCAGGUGGAGUAUUUGGUAGCGUGGGAAGGAGAACCGGAGUCAGAAAACACUUGGGUAAUGGCCGAAGAUAUCAAUGACGAGGUAUUGAUAGAAACGUUCCAUCAAAGGUUCCCAAGGAAACCUCAGCCUGUGGAGAGGUUCCGGAGGGAAUACUUUGGGACCACUGAUGAGGAGGAGGAGUUGGAAGGAUUCCCGGACUCGGAAGGGGAAGGGGAGAUGGACUCUGAGGAGGAGGAGUACUUCGAGACCAGGAACCGCAACAGGUGGAGAGAAGUGUUCGAGACAUCGGAAGAUGAAGGAAGUUCAUUCCGGGGUUUGCCUCCUCACCGCCCGUAGAGGAGGGGGCGAGAGGGGGUGAAAGGGGCCCUGGAGGGGAGGUGGAUGUCAGGGAACUGCCAUCGGAAGGAAGGGAGGUGAAAGGGCUCACACAGGUUGGGAGAGACUCAGCAGCUGAAGAGGGAACCAGUAGGGGGAGAGGAGCUGAGCUGAGGGAAAGUGAGCUGGAGGGAUGGCUCAGAGACACUUCCAGCGAAAACAGUGGGGAGGUUUCAGGACCUCCUGUAGGAACACCCACUCCUCGCCGGAAACUGUCACGCAGAGAGUCCAGAAGACGUGUUUCCGUUAAGGAGCUUUUAUGUUGGAAGCGAUUCCGAAAGCAACCACUGUCGGAAUCUGCUAGUGACUAGAGGAGCCAUGUCUGAGGGGCUCCGUCACAGACAGAGGUUUGUGGACUUGAACAAACUCUGAGGGAUACUAUUUUACGCACAAGCAGCUCAUCAUCCCAUCACA